This 18-nucleotide unclassified non-coding RNA is filed under the name Chlamydomonas reinhardtii. Its description in RNAcentral is "small RNA Cre_1289". The record is from RNAcentral. Lineage: Eukaryota; Viridiplantae; Chlorophyta; Chlorophyceae; Chlamydomonadales; Chlamydomonadaceae.
CGGAAGGGGAAGGGGCCG